RNAcentral lists this ribosomal RNA (496 nucleotides) under uncultured bacterium. RNAcentral describes it as "bacterial SSU rRNA". It matches the Rfam family "Bacterial small subunit ribosomal RNA", at positions 21 to 507 of the family's 1533-position model. The record is from RNAcentral.
GGCUCAGGAUGAACGCUAGCUACAGGCUUAACACAUGCAAGUCGAGGGGCAGCAGGGAUUUAGCUUGCUAAAUUCGCUGGCGACCGGCGCACGGGUGCGUAACGCGUAUCCAACUUUCCCGUUACUCUCGGAUAGCCUUCCGAAAGGAGAUUAAUACGAGAUGGUGUUCUAAUUCCGCAUGUUAUUAGAACUAAAGAUUCAUCGGUAACGGAUAGGGAUGCGUGACAUUAGAUAGUUGGCGGGGUAACGGCCCACCAAGUCCACGAUGUCUAGGGGUUCUGAGAGGAAGGUCCCCCACACUGGAACUGAGACACGGUCCAGACUCCUACGGGAGGCAGCAGUGAGGAAUAUUGGUCAAUGGCCGCGAGGCUGAACCAGCCAAGUAGCGUGAAGGAUGAAGGUUCUAUGGAUUGUAAACUUCUUUUAUACGGGAAUAACAUCACCUACGUGUAGGUGCCUGCAUGUACCGUAUGAAUAAGCAUCGGCUAACUCCGUG